Molecule: long non-coding RNA, 590 nt
Organism: Ornithorhynchus anatinus (platypus)
Lineage: Eukaryota; Metazoa; Chordata; Mammalia; Monotremata; Ornithorhynchidae
Exons: 5
Source: RefSeq, a predicted model, not a curated record
CCAGGCUGAAGACCUGAACAUCGCAGCUGGGAGGAAACACUGCCGUUCGUACACUGGCUUCCAGACACGGCGAGUGCAAACUUAGACAUGCACAAGGAUGGCGUCUGCUAUGAUGGUAUUGUAUCCCAGCAAACAGAACAGUCGCUGUCAUAUGGUCUGUCGGGCAUCCAGACUGGCUGGUUCCCUCUUUGGGUGUGAUCUGCUGCUGCCGUUACCAAAGUCACCCCUGCACCCCAGUGGGGGUGAGGGAUGGGUGGGUGGAGAAUCGCGGCCCUUACGGAGGUGCCUUAACACUAGCAUAAUUGAAGGAGCACAGGCCUGGAGUGGAGUCUGCCUCUGCCGUGCGACUGCUGUGAGACGUUGGAUAAAUCCUUCAUCUUCCUACGCCUCAGUUUCCUCAUCUGAAAUACGGACUCCCGCUUUCGAAGGUGGCAUUCUGAGUGCUGUUGUGUGAUUUCUGGAAAAUCGAAGCUGAUGCACACGUCACUCCAAAGUCCCGUGGAAACAUUACCAUUUAGCAUCCUGAGCCCUUCUCCGGAGGUAGCCUGCUUAAGGGCCUGCUCCACUUGCUCUCUUCUCUUGGAUUCAAA